AAAGUUUGAUCCUGGCUCAGGGUGAACGCUGGCGGCGUGCUUAACAYAUGCAAGUCGAACGAUGAAGUCCUUCGGGAUGGAUUAGUGGCGCACGGGUGAGUAAUAUAUAGUUAAUGUACCUUCAAGACUGGGAUAGCCACUGGAAACGGUGAUUAAUACUAGAUAUACCUCUCUAACAUAAGUUAGAGUGGGAAAUGUUUUUUCGCUUGAAGAUCAGACUAUAUCCCAUCAGUUUGUUGGUGAGGUAAUGGCUCACCAAGGCAAUGACGGGUAGCGGGUUUGAGAGGAUGAUCCGCCACACUGGUACUGAGACACGGACCAGACUCCUACGGGAGGCAGCAGUGAGGAAUAUUGCACAAUGGGGGAAACCCUGAUGCAGCAACGCCGCGUGGAGGAUGACGCAUUUCGGUGUGUAAACUCCUUUUAUGAGUCAAGAAAAUGACGGUAGCUCAUGAAUAAGCACCGGCUAACUCCGUGCCAGCAGCCGCGGUAAUACGGAGGGUGCAAGCGUUACUCGGAAUCACUGGGCGUAAAGGACGCGUAGGCGGGUUGGUAAGUCAGAUGUGAAAUCCUACAGCUCAACUGUAGAACUGCAUUUGAAACUACUGACCUAGAGUAUGGGAGGGGGAGAUGGAAUUAGUGGKKKARRGGGKUWAAAUCCCGUARAUWUCACUAGGAAUACCAARAGCGAAGGCGAUCUCCUGGAACAUUACUGACGCUAAGGCGUGAAAGCGUGGGGAGCAAACAGGAUUAGAUACCCUGGUAGUCCACGCCCUAAACGAUGAACACUAGUCGUCGGAAAGCUUGUCUUUUCGUGAUGCACUUAACAGAUUAAGUGUUCCGCCUGGGGAGUACGGUCGCAGAUUAAACUCAAAGGAAUAGACGGGACCCGYACAAGUGGUGCAGCAUGUGUUUACUUCGAGAUACGCGAAAACGUUACUGCUUGACAUGAUAGACUGCUARARAUAGCGGGUGCAGUUUACUGAGCUGAAACAGUGCUGCMUGCUGUCGUCMGUCAKUUCUKGAAAUGUUGGUCAGUCCCAACUGGCAAUCAYGUUCUAAUGCGAACAGUAGCUGACCUUAGGGAACGUCCUUCUUAGAGAGGAAAUGCUUAGGAGSACCUAAGCYCUUUG
Molecule: ribosomal RNA, 1133 nt
Filed under: uncultured bacterium
Lineage: Bacteria
Description: bacterial SSU rRNA
Rfam family: Bacterial small subunit ribosomal RNA
Source: RNAcentral